RNAcentral lists this long non-coding RNA (2047 nucleotides) under Homo sapiens (human). RNAcentral describes it as "HSALNT0195366". Lineage: Eukaryota; Metazoa; Chordata; Mammalia; Primates; Hominidae. The record is from RNAcentral.
GGAAGUUACUGCCUUGCUCUCUGGACCUCCUGUCUCUUUUCUCUGAAUCUUCAUUCCCUCCUGUUCCUCUGUCUCUGACCCUGUCUCCAUGUCUGUCUCUUCCACUGCCUGGCUCCUUCCUCUUCUUCACUUGCUUCUGACAGUCAGGGUUUCUGCCUCGCCCCGUCUUUCUCUCUGUCCCUCCACGUCUUUGUUUUUCUCAUCUCCGCUUCUCUCUCCCUCCGUGUCCAGGUCUCUUCCUGUCCAUCCAUCUCUCAGCCUCAGCCUAGCUCGGUCCUCCACUCUGAUUCUCUCCCAUCCAUCUCCCUGGGCCUGACAGAGGCUCUUUGUCGAGUCUCUUCCUCUGUCUGCCCCCAUCCGUUGUUUUCUCUGUAUGUCGCUGGCUGCGCAUGUGCCACUGUUUCUAUCAUUUUCUCUCCAUCUAGCCAUUGAUCUCUGAUUCCCCUGCUCCGCUUCUCUGUCUCUCAUCCCUGUCACCACCUCCCUCUCUGUCACUUUCUUAUUCUCUCCCUGCCUCUUUGCACGCUCUUUGCACAUCAGGCCCGGCCCCAGCCCAGGGUCUCUGGGCUCCAGGAAGCCAGCCAGGGGCUGUGCGGGCUGCGCUGUAACUCAGGAACUCCGCCAGCAAUCAUUUCAUUAGAUAUCCCCCUGGGGCACCGGCCUAGAACAGAGCAACAAAUAUUUACUAAUUCCAUUAACAGAAGAGAGUUGGAAUUUUUUUUUCCCAAGCGAAUAUCCGAGGCCCCAAGUUCAUGUAGCCACCCAAAGUUACACUUUGGUUCACCAAGACGAAGACUCAUCCUUCCUCUCUCUAUGGAUCUUUCAGAUGAAGAAAUUAAGGCUCAGGAGGGAGGAAAAAAAUAAAAGAAAGAAUUGUCCAAGGUCACCAAGGCAUCUGGACUCCCAUAUGUUGAGCUACUUCUGCUUGUGGGGCAGCUGCAAUACAUGAAUUCUUCACUACCAACUUAAUAUAAGCUAAGGAAUGCAAAAGAUUGCCAGCAAAUGACCAGAAGCUAGAGGGGAGGCAUGGAACAGAUCUUCUCUCACAGCCUCAGAAGGAACUAGCCCUACUGACAGCUCGAUCUCAGACUUCUAGACUCCAGACUGGUGAGACAACAUAUUUCUGUUGUUUAAGCCACCCAGUUUGUGGCAAUUUGUUACGGCAGACCAGCAAAUGAAUACAGGAUCUCUACAAAAUACACUCACCUUUCAGGCAGGCCAAGAGGAUUGUUUACUGUCAGAGCUCCAAGCCCGGAACUUACUCACACACCAAAAAAGGGGCAUGGAAGUGGGAGCAAGGAUGGAGUCACGAUCCCAAAGUCCCGGAGCAUCUUCUCCACACAUUCAUGAGAGUCAGGCACAGGUUUUUAUCUCAUGCCCACAUUCAGGGGGCCAUCAUCCUGAGCCUGCACCCCCAGAGAAAGUGAGGCCCAGGAAUUUGUGAGUUUGUUGUUGCUUGUGUUACCGAAUAUCCAUGAACUGCAAAAUGGCACCAUGACCUAAUGAAGUAUUAACCCUGCCUCAUCACUGCACAUCAACCAUGAAAGCAGGCUCUUCUUGGCCAGGGCUGUUUCAAGGAGAUUUAGGAAUAUAUUUGAGGCUUCUGAAGGAUAGUUGGAAAUUAGGGGGUCUGCAAAUGGACCUCCAAGAACUCAGGACAGGGGACAUGGACCAGAAGCACCCCCUGAUCUGCCUGGGGUCUCCAACAUACUGUUCUUCCCUCCCACCCCUUUCAAGGGCUAUCCAACGUUGGAAAGAAUAAAAACUCAGAGUCAAUAGAUCUGGGUUUACAUCACAGCUUUACUCAUGAGACAUGAGACAAAUGACUUAGUCCUUCUGAGCCUCAGUUUUCUCCUCUGUAAAAUGGGAAUAAUCAUUGUAGAUGCUUCACAGAGUUGUGAAAACAUAAUGGGUAUCUAUCUAUCUAUCUAUCUAUCUAUCUAUCUAUCUAUCUGGAAUGAAAAUGCACCUGGCUCAUAGUAGACACUUGUUAACUCGAAGCUGCUUUAUUUUUGUUGUUGAUUUCUUAUUGUGAUUUUUUGUGACA